AGGAUGGAAUUAUUUCAAUAGAUUAUAUGAAGUCAGAAAUGAAUAUGGUCGAUCCU
RNAcentral lists this small RNA (56 nucleotides) under Salix viminalis (osier). Lineage: Eukaryota; Viridiplantae; Streptophyta; Magnoliopsida; Malpighiales; Salicaceae. The record is from RNAcentral.